GGUGGACGGGGCACGGCGGGUGGACGCCGGGGCGGCUGAGCCUUGCCGGACCGGAGCCCGGUCUGCCCGGGGUUCAGACCGCCGGUCUGACG
This 92-nucleotide transfer RNA is filed under the name Streptomyces lanatus. RNAcentral's name for it is "tRNA-Leu". Lineage: Bacteria; Bacillati; Actinomycetota; Actinomycetes; Kitasatosporales; Streptomycetaceae. The record is from RNAcentral.